CAGCAGUAGGGAAUCUUCCGCAAUGGACGAAAGUCUGACGGAGCAACGCCGCGUGAGUGAUGAAGGCUUUCGGGUCGUAAAACUCUGUUGUUAGGGAAGAACAAGUGCUAGUUGAAUAAGCUGGCACCUUGACGGUACCUAACCAGAAAGCCACGGCUAACUACGUGCCAGCAGCCGCGGUAAUACGUAGGUGGCAAGCGUUAUCCGGAAUUAUUGGGCGUAAAGCGCGCGCAGGUGGUUUCUUAAGUCUGAUGUGAAAGCCCACGGCUCAACCGUGGAGGGUCAUUGGAAACUGGGAGACUUGAGUGCAGAAGAGGAAAGUGGAAUUCCAUGUGUAGCGGUGAAAUGCGUAGAGAUAUGGAGGAACACCAGUGGCGAAGGCGACUUUCUGGUCUGUAACUGACACUGAGGCGCGAAAGCGUGGGGAGCAAACAGGAUUAGAUACCCUGGUAGUCCACGCCGUAAACGAUGAGUGCUAAGUGUUAGAGGGUUUCCGCCCUUUAGUGCUGAAGUUAACGCAUUAAGCACUCCGCCUGGGGAGUACGGCCGCAAGGAUGAAACUCAA
RNAcentral lists this ribosomal RNA (565 nucleotides) under Bacillus cereus. RNAcentral describes it as "bacterial SSU rRNA". It matches the Rfam family "Bacterial small subunit ribosomal RNA", at positions 349 to 904 of the family's 1533-position model. Lineage: Bacteria; Bacillati; Bacillota; Bacilli; Caryophanales; Bacillaceae. The record is from RNAcentral.